Molecule: ribosomal RNA, 253 nt
Filed under: uncultured bacterium
Lineage: Bacteria
Description: partial 16S ribosomal RNA
Rfam family: Bacterial small subunit ribosomal RNA
Source: RNAcentral
UACGUAGGUGGCGAGCGUUGUCCGGAUUUACUGGGCGUAAAGGGAGCGUAGGCGGACUUUUAAGUGAGAUGUGAAAUACUCGGGCUCAACUUGAGUGCUGCAUUUCAAACUGGAAGUCUAGAGUGCAGGAGAGGAGAAUGGAAUUCCUAGUGUAGCGGUGAAAUGCGUAGAGAUUAGGAAGAACACCAGUGGCGAAGGCGAUUUUCUGGACUGUAACUGACGCUGAGGCUCGAAAGCGUGGGGAGCAAACAGG